RNAcentral lists this ribosomal RNA (474 nucleotides) under uncultured bacterium. RNAcentral describes it as "bacterial SSU rRNA". It matches the Rfam family "Bacterial small subunit ribosomal RNA", at positions 335 to 803 of the family's 1533-position model. The record is from RNAcentral.
ACUCCUACGGGAGGCAGCAGUGGGGAAUAUUGCACAAUGGGCGCAAGCCUGAUGCAGCCAUGCCGCGUGUAUGAAGAAGGCCUUCGGGUUGUAAAGCACUUUCAGUAGGGAGGAAGGUAGUGUAGUUAACACCUGCAUUAUUUGACGUUACCUACAGAAGAAGCACCGGCUAACUCCGUGCCAGCAGCCGCGGUAAUACGGAGGGGGUUAGCGUUGUUCGGAAUUACUGGGCGUAAAGCGCGCGUAGGCGGACUGGAAAGUUGGGGUGAAAUCCCAGGGCUCAACCCUGGAACUGCCUCCAAAACUAUCAGUCUAGAGUUCGAGAGAGGUGAGUGGAAUUCCGAGUGUAGAGGUGAAAUUCGUAGAUAUUCGGAGGAACACCAGUGGCGAAGGCGGCUCACUGGCUCGAUACUGACGCUGAGGUGCGAAAAGUGUGGGGAGCAAACAGGAUUAGAUACCCUGGUAGCUACGAGU